UUUCCAUGACCUUCGUGCUGUGGACAAUGUACUCGUUCGUGGCAGUGUAUUUUUAGAGCCUUUAUUCAACACAUGCUUUUGUGCAUCUGACCAUUUCCUCAAUAAUUCAGUAUAUCACAUAUACGUUUAAUAAUUCAUUCUCUGCAUGGAGAUCAGACUGGUAACGUGCGUAACCCUCUUACAAGAACUUCCGAGAUGGUUUGUUUGUAAAUCCAACUCCGUGGUCGUUGUGAAAUCACGUAUCUGUAACAUUUUGGUCAUGCAUAUGGUUUAUGUUCAUUGCUUAAAAUACAAGUCAAUUCAUCAUAUUUGCCAAACGUAUCAAGUGGGUAAAAGCCUAGUGCUCUUUGGUAAUUCAUUUUUGGCGUGCGGUUUCAUCGGAAACAGCACAGAUUGGCGAGUCGUGACUGCUAAAGUGAGUAAUGCGCGUCGGCUGCGUCAGUAGGGGCAUAGCGCUGGGUGCCGGAGACAGAUGGAGGGAAUCGUGACUGACCGGAGACUUACACAAAUGAAAGCACAACCUCAUCAUGUCUCCAUGAGAGAGCUAUCUGUGAAGAUGAGACUUAAAUGUUAGGGUCUCGCUGUUCUCCCCUGUCACUCUAAGUCCUGACCUUGGGAUCCGGUGGUAAUUCUACACAUUCAGAAAAAAGCGACUCUCUAGUUUAUGUGUGUGUGUGUGUGUGGUGUGUGUGUGCGUGUGUGUGUGUGUGUGUGUGCUGUAUGUGUGCGUGUGUGUGUGUGCGUGUGUGUGUGUGUGUGUGUGGCGUUCGUACGUGCAAACAGAAAGAGCGAGUAAAAAGGAGAUGUUUUUGUGUGUAGGCUUGUGUGAAGGCUUUGGGAUGGGUUUAUAUGGUUGUGUGCGCGCGUAUGCUUGAGUUGUGUGGGUAUCCAAAUAUAGCCAGACUCAGAAAACGAUGUUCAUUAUUUUAUGAGACAAGGAAAAAAGGUGACUAGCUUUGGUGCUUAGGUGACCUGUGCAAAUACUACGAAUGGAGGAUAUGAGAAACUUGUUGUGGGGGGUCCCUGUGUGAGAAAAGCACGGAUUGGUCGAAUGACGAUUUUUUGUAUGCUCCAAUGAAAUCCUUCACUGCUCUCUAUUUACUGUGAGCUGGAGCGCAGUAAUUCCCCUCCUUCAACAGAUCUAUCGACUGACAGGAGUAGAUCAGCUUUUUACCACAUCACGAACAGUAGACUAUGUACAGUAUGACUAUAAGAACGGCAUCAGAACACGGAUGAAAUGACGGUGCAAAGCCUCGGAUGGUUAUUCCAGUCCAAGGGUCUGAGCUAAUAUACAGAGUGCAAAAAGAAGCAGACAGAAAGAGAGGAAUGGAAAUCUGAGUCAACAGAUCAGGAGAGCCCAUGACUAAAUAACAGAUGCUAGAUACGUGAAUAAUAACAUUUGUGUGUGUUUUCUGAAUGCGUGUUAUCAUGUCAUUCAUGUUUAAGCUGCUGAAUGCCUUCUAUUAUCACAUUUCUGAAAUGUUUUUUUUGCAAUGUUUUCUGCAUCUUUUCUGUAUUGCUUUUGAUUGUAACCAGGUAUACUGAUUACAUUAAUUUAGAGGUAAUCAAUAAGCUACUUAUUGAUGUUUAUUUUUUUAACAAAAAUAUGACGUCAUCCUGAAAUUUCUUUCUUCUGAGUCUGAGUACGUCAGUGAUACUCUCAUGCAAUAAGUACUGUAAAUCAUUGAUAUAAGCAGUGAUUUAUUAUUUUUUAUUAAUUCUUAAUGAGAAUACAAGUGAUGUUUUCAUUCUCAUUAAUUUAGCAGUCUUUUAAUUUAUGGUGAAACUGACGUGGUCUUAGUAAACAUACCACGCAUUACGUUUAAAGCUCAGACAUACGUCAGGUUGUAAUUAUACCUCAGCACAGUCAGACUUAUUUUUUCCAACUAUUUAAAUAAUGAAUUUGUAGUGAACUACUGUAAAUGAUCAUUGAUUUUAUAUGUUCUUUAAGAAAAUGUCUUUUCAAAAUAAAAUUUAUAAAUUGCAGUAUACGUAUUGUGGCCUAUUUUAUCUUAAAGUUACAAUCUAAAAUCUAUAUUGUGAUACAAUCUACCGAAAUAAACAUUAUGCAAGCAGUAAACAAUGCCAUGUGUAUAUGAAUAUGUAGUUAUAAUGCAGCAUGUUGCACAUGUAUGGAUCUACUGUAUUGUGUUCCACUUUUCUAGGUUGAAUGAUGAUUACAUUGAUCUACAUUGCUUUUUAAAGAAACAUAAAGGCUUGUAAUGUCUUUUUAAUACUUUUCAGUUAAAUCUGUUAAUUGAAUCAACAUUUAAGUAUAUGCAUUCUUUUUCAUUUUUAUAUUCUUUUCAGCUGUUAUUGGUUUGACUCUAAUCAUGAAUAAUAGCAUCCACACGCUUAUUUUCUUAGUGUUAGUGCCUAACAAAAAAACAUUUUACAUAACACAUUGUUUAAACGUGCAGCUUCAUUAUUUGGGGAAUGUUGUGGAUGGAAUGUUGAGUUUUCAGGAUGUGAAGUUUUUCAGUGACUCCUGACUUUCUGAAACAACAUUGUUGUCAUUAUUAUUUUUUAUUUUUAAGUUAUAUUUUGGGUCUUUUAUGCCUUUAAUGACAGCGUACAGUGGAGAGUUGAUAAGAAGAUAUUGGGAGGAAAGAGGGGAGCAGGACCGACAAAGGACCACUGAGAACGGGAAUCGAACCCAAAUCGCCGUGAGCGCACUGGCGCUAUGUGUCGGCACAUUAACCACAAGGCAACCGACACCGACACCGACGCUGUCAUUGUUUCAAAGACUAUUACUCAUUUACAUAAUUUUUCUUCACUCUAACCAUGUUCUUUUUUUGUGUGUUUAACAGACUAUGGCCCGGUUUCACAGAAAAGGCUUAAGGGUAGUCACCAACUAAAAUGAAUGUUUGAGCUGUCUUAAAUGAAAAUAACAUGCCCUGAAAUAUCUUAAGAUAUGUUAGUGCCAUUGUUUUGUCUCAUGAUGAACACCAGUAAUGUUUUUUCAAAUACAUUUUUAUAAAAGCGACUUAAAUAUACAAAUUUAUCUAAGGCCUAGUCCUGGCUUAAGCUAAUCCUUGUCAUUGAAAUCGGGCCUAUGUGUGGGAGACAUAACCCACUGCAAACAAGGGGUAGCACCUUUUUUCCCCCCCGAGAACACAGAAUGAGUAUAUACCGCUGUUUUUACCCCUGUUGUUCUCUGGUAGUUUUCUAGUGGCCCAUGAAAACACAGUAUGGUUUAUGUGCCGCAAAGUGCUGUAGUAAGAUUUAAAUAACAUUACAUUAAAUUUAUAAAGAUAGAAAUUCAUAUGACUCACGUACACAUUAAGUCAAAUUAAUCUGAUUUACACAUUAAAUUUGUCUUUUAUGGCAAGAAGUGAUACAUGCGUUAUAUACAAAACAUGUCCCCUAUGCACUGCCUUUUUCUUUGCACUUGACAACAUGACAGGUUUAAAACAUCGCAGUAAUUUAAGCUUUUGUAACUAAUAACAAUUAUUCACUUGACCUUAAAGUGUGUAUUUUUUUAGGUUUCAAUAAUAAGGAGUACUGAGUCAGGAACGCAACAGCCAAAGUAAUGCUCACACCCGAGAUGUGGUCACAAUUUUUUGCAUUGUGUCUCAAGUCCCCGAAAGUGAUCACUUAAAGAUGUUUUAAAAGAUUUGUGUCUGCAAAUUUGAAACAGAACAGUAAGUCCACAUAGAUUUUAAAUUGAUAUGAUCAUAUAGUUAUUAUGUUUACUAUGUCACUUUGAACAGUUUCUUGUUGCUAUGCCUCUAACAACUCUUAAUUUUGUCCUACUGUAAAAUCAAGUCAAACCAAUUUAUUUUCUUCUCCUGCCCUAUACAUUUUGUUUUUGUACUGAACACAAAUGAAGAUAUUGGUGAAUGGUGACCCAAAAUGACUUUAACACAAAAUAACUUCCUUCAUUGUUCAGUGCAACAAAUAAAUGUAUAACAGAGGAUGAACAAAUGAUGACAAAAUUUUCAUUUUUGGGCCAACUAUUAUUUAAGCUUAAUCGCAUAAACCAUGAAAUGUAUUCUCUGUAAACCCCAGACUGCUUGAUACGUUGAACAUACAUUAUGUAGUUUUCAUUCACUGCAAGUUAUUCUGCCUUCUGAUCUAAAUAGUCCCUUCUCAUUGAUUGUCUGAGGCCAGUUCUCUGUCACGUUAAAGCAUGACAUCUGCUGCAGAAUAACAUGAUUGUGUUUUUUUUAUUAUUGUGUGUGUGUUUGACUUGUUUUUCUUUUUACUUUAGAAUUUCUGCUUGAUGCCUUGAAACAUGUGCUAUGAGAAGCUGUAAGUCUCAUAUCAUUUCAACGUUCAGUAUGAAGACAGCACAUUUGCCCCGAGGAGAAAGGAAAUCAUUCAUUCUGAUCCUCCUGUUUGUGAGAUCUUGGGGAAGUGCCCAGCACUUUUUACUGAAAGCCACGUUUGUUUUCUAUUUCUCUUUACCAACUUAAUGCCUUUUUUAUUUUAAUGUAAACAACCACUUUAUGUUUUGUGCUUAGAUCUUUGCAGAAUUCAAUCGCAUAUCUGAAAAAUCUGAGAUCCAAGUUCUGCGCAGCAUUGGACUCUGCAUGUUUGAUUGAAUUUUUCAGAAAAAAGGAGGAAAUCAGGGGAAAACGCUUGGAUGAAAUUUUGCGUCAGGUUGAUUCAAAGUCAUCUGAUGUAAUGUGUUGUGUGCGCUUCGCAGUACUUCACGGUCUUCUUGGGGGACGACUCUGAGAAUUCAGGAUGUGCUUUGCAAAUGCAGACUUCUGUGGAAUUGAUGUUGGCCUGCUCACAGUUCCACGUGAAGAUAUGGCUGCCUGAACUCCAUGUUCUCAAUGUUAAUGCAUCAAGGGCAAUCAUUCUGGAGGGAAGAAUUGUCUUGGAUGAUGUCCCAAACUUGCCACAUGCUGUAUGUCUCCUCUUUGCUUACUGUAUAUGCUCUAAAUUUAGACUACACAAAGACAAUAAGGGAAACAUUUUUUCCGGGUAUUUCUGUUGUUGGGAGGUAAGAAACUCAAACCUAAACUUCAAACCCUUAAAAUCAGCUGUUAAGAUAAACUUUGUCUUGAAUGCCUUUGUGCCUGUUAAUAUUUGGCAUAUUUUGUAAUUUCACUAAUUUCAAGUUUGUACAGAUUUUAUACUUAUGUUAAUAUAUACUGUAGAUUAGUUAAAUGUCUGUAUUUCAGGCUUAUUUUGUAACUGCACUAAUUUUACGGGAGCACUGGUUUGGUACAGAUGGCUCGGUUAUGUUUUUAUAGUUAUAACUGUACCUUUCUAAAGCCAAAUGUCUAUAUUUUAGUAAAAACUAAAUGUCUACAUGUCAAAUGCCUAAUGUUUUCUGUACAGUGCUGUACAUUGUAAUUUUUUUCAGUAUUUAAUGAGGCAUAAGAGAUCUGUUUAGACAGAAGCAUUCUGGCUACAUUUGCUAGUUAUUGUGAUGUUCCUAACAAGCUGUUUAUUAAAAAAGAAACAGUCGAUAAUGUCAAACAUGUGUUGAGUGUCUUCUGUUUUAGUUGUAUUUAAAAAAAACAUGUUUACUUUACUUGAACAAUCUUUGGAAACCGAUUGCACAUAGUUUUUUAAGUUGUCGUAUCUUAAAAUGGAAUAGUAAAUCUGUAUCAAGUGUACUAGUAUUUUAAUUGAAAUUGAAAUAUUAAACUUACUUGAUAUUUAUUAGUUACAUUACUCAGAAAAUGUUUGUUCUACUUAUACAUAUAGGUGAUUACUAACUUAACUUUAAUUUUACCUUUAAGUUCGGCUUGAAAAAAUAAGGGCAAUCGGUUUCCAAGUAAACUGAACUAAUUCGUAUUUACAGUGACAGACAAUAGGCAUAUGAUAAAAGAAUAUGUAUCGUAUAUAGAAUAUACUAUAGCCUUUUGCAAAGUUGCAUUUCUGCACAUUUAAACACUGUGUUAAAAACUCAGUAAUGUCUGUCUGCAAUUGAAUAUAUUUCAAUUUUUUUAGUAAAUACUUCUGAUAACAAAAAAUAAAAUUGGAAAUUACUGUUCCAUAUAUAGUUGUCUUUCAUGCUAUUGACAAGACUUGGAUGCGUUGAAAAAAAGCAUUGUAGCUUCUUUUCAGAAAGGCACUGUCUAUAAAUUAAUGUCAAAUGAUUAUGACAUUUUACUACCCAAACCACAUUUCCUUGUCAAUUGAUUUGAAGUUAAAGCUUCUUCUGACUGUCCUGUGUCAUGUAUUCAACUUGUUACAAAAUCCAAAUAAAAUAAACA
Long non-coding RNA from Triplophysa rosa, 6179 nucleotides. RefSeq lists it as uncharacterized. The transcript is spliced from 5 exons. The record is from RefSeq and is a predicted model, not a curated record. Lineage: Eukaryota; Metazoa; Chordata; Actinopteri; Cypriniformes; Nemacheilidae.